Hemicordylus capensis (graceful crag lizard) is the source of this 8890-nucleotide long non-coding RNA. RefSeq lists it as uncharacterized. The record is from RefSeq and is a predicted model, not a curated record. NCBI's taxonomy places the organism in Eukaryota, Metazoa, Chordata, Lepidosauria, Squamata, Cordylidae. The transcript is spliced from 3 exons.
GAACACUGCUUAGUGUGCCCUUAAAGAGCAUACAUCAGAAGAGCACGGAAGGAAUCAAGGAAGGUUUGGUUUUGUGGUUUCCUUUUCUCAGCACUGAGUAUAUCAUGCUGUACUGUUGCUGCUAUAUUGACUGCCUCAUUUUACUCGAUCCCAGAUUGACAAAGGUAGAACUUGGGUGCAUGCCUGCCUUGAGUUGUGGUUUGUUUUGUUUGUGAGAUAGUGUUGUGGUGGAAAAUGGACAGUGGCAGCUGUGAGUGUGUGUGUGUGAGAGAGAGAGAGAGCGGGAGAGAGAGAGAGAGAGAGAGAGAGAGAGAUUUCCUUGGUUAUUGCUAUGAGAUGAGCUCCAUGUGUGGCCUCAUGACUAACUGGCCUUGAGACUAACUAAUAGGAUCCUGGCCUUGAGGAUCCUAUGUGGUUUUGAAGAAUUUUUUUUUUAUUGCCUGCUUGGCAAUUUCUUUUGUGGGUUGGGUGGUAGGUAGCACCCAUCAUGCCCUACCACACAACCCACUUUGGUGCCUCUAUGAGCUACCCAUAAGUAACAAUGGGGUGAUUUGAGUUUCCCAUUGUUCCCUAUGAUCAAAACACUUGAUCAUCGAAGCAGCCAACUUUGCUGUCACUAUGAUACUAUUAUUUAUGUGGCUAUAAUGGGCAGAAAACCUCUGGACUUACAUGUGCAAAACAGAGUUGCAAGCCGCUUCCUGCUCAAACUGUUGUCCUCAUUAAACUGCACUAGGUUGAAAAUUCUAGCUACAUCCUUGAGAAGGGCAGAUGAUUGAAUGAUCAAACAACUUUAUUUGCUACUAUUGUUCUCAGGGCAGCUCACAAACAAUAAAACAACAAUAGAAUAAAAACAUAUAAUUAAAAGCACAUCAAAACAAAAAAGACUACUAUAAAAUACAAACUUUUAAAAAAUGUGUUUCACUCCAAUUGAAAUAUCUAACUACUCUGUUAAAAAAAAAUCUAACUUGCAUUGUUGUAGGCUAAUGCAGACCAUCAAGAGAGCAAUCAGACUGAUUUCAUUCUAACAAGAUUUUUGGCAGGCUCUUAUCAAUAUCAUUAAUAUUAGAUAGAAGACAAUUUCAAUACAUGUUUCCACUACAUAUGUAAAUAUAAUUAUGUUUGUUGUUUACACAAGUUGUUUUGCAUAAUAUGUAGUUCUUGGAACUUCAGUUGUUAUAACAUGAAGCAAAAACAAGAAAGAGAUGAAAUCCAGUUUCAUUCACCCAAUGUAGCAGAAUGUGUACAUUGAUAAAAAUUCUGUUAGUCCCCAAUGCAAACUACUCUCAGAAGCAGGCAAUAGCAAGCUAUUUCAGUUGCCUGAUCAAAGUGUUUAUCCCAACCUGCUUCUCAAGGAAUAUUGCUCACCCUGGGAUUUCCAUAAUACACUGAAAUGUAUCAUUGCCACAAUACAGGCAAGCACAUUCAAUGCUAGAGGUCAGUAUGUUGUGAAAAGGGGCCCUUAGAAAUACAGCUGACUGAACAUCAUUAAAAUUGCUGAGAGGACAUCCUGGGAAUACUUGCAAUGCAGUUGCCUCACAGUAGUUGGAAAAGAGCAUAACACUCUACCGCUAUCAAAUCAUAACAUAAAAACACAUAAAUCCCUGUUUGGAGGGAAAGAGACCAAGUAAACAGCCUACAUUGCAAAAUAAAAAAUAAAAAAUACAGAUAUUAAUAAAUCAGUACCAUUUCCUCUCUUCUCUACUGCCCCCAUACUAGUCUGUUUUGGGAAAAGAGACCAAGUAGACAGCCUAAAUUUUUUUAAAAAAUUCAGAUAUUCAUAAAUUAAUACUAUUUCCUUUCUUCUAUACGUUCCCAUUUCCCUGUGGGGUUUUCCAAGAGCAGCUUACUGAAGCAAUGAAUCAACUUUAAAUAAAUAAAUAAAUAAAAAUGACAUCCACUAAAUGAGGACUAUCAGAUCAUGGAAGGAAGCAUUUCAGGCAAACUAGAAGUAUUUUCUUUUGUUUAUGCUGAACAUUUGCCUCAGGUUCCCAUAAAUAUUUGCAGCUAUUGAGGAUUAGACUUAUAAAUCUACAAUGGUGUUGUGGUCUACCUUUGUUCUCAUGGCAGAAAAAGGGCAAAUUAUCAUUUUCAUUUGAAAGAAAUUGAGAACAUGAAAUGCUUGCAUGAGAAAUGGCCAUUUCAUUACGUGGAAAUAAAGUUACUUAGUUUUAGUACAACGAGUGCACUCAGACCUCUUUUUUAAAUGCCAGACCCUUUCAUAGAAAAAUAUACUGAGAAACUACUAUGCACAGAUUUCUCUGAACAAAUUUGCUGAAUUAAGUACAGGUUGUAAUUCACCACUAAGUGGCUGCUUGUAGAGUGCAGAGCUAGAUCCUGCCUCCCACACAAAUGGACUGUGCAUGAGGUCUCAUAAUUCUUCAGUCACCCUUGACAGUGAAGACCCAACCCUCCAAGGUCUUUUAAUUCACCAUACUGUGCCUGCAAUAAGACCCUCAAUUUUAAUUUCCAUAUGCAGCAAAUACAUCUAUCAUAUAGGUUUCCUUAUAAAACACAGAUCAUGCGGUCAGGUUACUUUUGUAGCAGAAUUAUAUAAUGCAUUGUAGUGUAGGUUUUAUUGCUCCUGGCACCACUUUGUUUAAAACAUUCCUGUUUCUAAAGCUUGUGCUUUAGGCCAGGGUAAGCGAAAGCUACUGAACAACUUACGUUUAAUAACCUUAGCAACAAAAUAGAGAUUAGCACCAUCAAAAUAAAUGGAAAUACAUUUUACCACACUAGCAGGUAACUUAUAAAACGUUUAUUACCCUCCAGUGUACAAUCAUAACCACAGACUCUGGCCACAUUUGCUUUAUUUGCCUAGCAAUUCUUUUUAAAGAGAGUAUUCUGUUCUCAGGAACACGUUUCCUAGCAGAGAACAUAACUAUAACAUAACUAGAAGCAAAGAUUAUUUUUACUUCAUGAAAUUAAUUAAUUAAUGCUUUCAGGGCACACUUUUCAAGAAAUUUAAAAUUUUAGAAAUGUUAAAGAACGUUUAAAUUUAUUUUUAAGAAAUUAUAGCUUGUUUUGCUAAAAAGAAAAAAAAAUGAAUUGUAUAGUAUGUAGAUACUCUCAUCUUCUCAUUCCAAUUCAGAAAGAGUUUGGACAAAUCCAUAUCCUCCAACAUUUCACUAAUAUGGUAACUUGGCAAAGAGGCACCUUUUAUCGUGGUGAUUCACUUUAUUUGUCAGGGGGAGAGUAACUGGCCCUAUCCACCCGCAGCACAGUACCUCCAGUGACUGUUGCUGGUGUCUAUAUUUCUUUUUAGAUUGUAAGCCCUUUGGGGACAGGGAACCAUCUUAUAGCAAUAGCAAUAGCACUUACAUUUAUAUACCGCUCUAUAGCCAAAGCUCUCUAAGCGGUUUACAAUGAUUUAGCAUAUUGCCCCCAACAUUCUGGGUACUCAUUUUACCGACCUCGGAAGGAUGGAAGGCUGAGUCAACCUUAUUUAUUUAUUAUUUCUCUAUGUAAUCCUCCCUGAGCCAUUUUUGGAAGGGCGGUAUCAAAAUUGAAUGAACAAAUGAAUGAAUGAAUGAAAUAGGGACACACCUGUGAGUGUGCAGGGAGUUUGGCCAAGCACCCCGAGCAAAGUGUGGUGUGCAAUUCUGACUAAGAGCAUGACACAAAUGGAAAUCAGGCAAUCAAGUGCAAGCAGAACACAUUAUUCCAGAUUACCAAAGCAUAUAAACCAAGCCCAUAGUCUCCAACAUUUCACAGGAAAAUGGGGAUACAUUUGUAAAAGUCAAUACUCAUACCAAGGUGGACCAAACUGCCCUCCCAUUAUUACAAAUUACUGAAAACUAAUUUCUAUCUUCUGUUUUCUGUGCAUUUACAUGUGAGUACUCUAGGGAGAAAAUGCAUUCAUCUAUCCACAUGGAGAUUUAAUUUUUAGCCUAUGGGAUCCUGAAGAAUGAUACCUCUAGCAACUCAUGUGAGAAAAAACUAAACAAUGCAUUCCCAAGGGACAAAAACAGGGAGAGUUUUCAUAAAAUAGAGACUGCCCCUGGUAAAUAUAUACAUACUUAUUUAAAGGUAAAGUAUGCCAUCAAGUCUGUGUUGAUUCCUGGCGACCACAGAGCCCUGUGGUUGUCUUUGAUAGAAUACAGGAGGGGUUUACCAUUGCCAUCGCCCAUGCAGUAUGCCUUUCAACAUCUUUCCUAUAUCACUGCUGCCCAAUAUAGGUGUUUCCCAUAGUCUGGGAAACAUACCAGCAGGUAUUUGAACUGGUAACCUCUGGCUUGCGAAUCAAGUCAUUUCCCCACUGUGCCAUUACUAUUAUUUAUAUACCGCUUGUCAACAGAAAAGUUCUCAAAGUGGUUUACAUUAAAAAUGGUUUACAUAGAUAAACUUCUGGCCUAUGCAAAUCAGGAUAUUUAUCUGGACAUCCAGACUGAGAGAAUGGAUGUCCAACCACAUUAAACCAUUACCUCUAAUAUUAGUUGUACACAAUGGUAUUUUGGACAAACAGACAUCUAAAUUAGAGGCAAUCCAUAGUUACACAUGAGGCCCUUACGCUGUGAUUCUGUUGCAGCCUUUAAGCUACAAAUACAAUCAACUCCAGUACUUCUCCUGAGUUGCAUUGCUGGAAACAGAGAAGAUGACUAAGAUGUCACAAUUCAUAGCAUGCUGACCGUAGGUUUCAUGAUAUUCCAAUGCAUGUGCAGAAGCCUGUUGCCAUUAUAUUGAGAACUGGGUCCUCCUGGCUCUCACCUCCAUCUUUAUUAAGUAACAUAAAGUGUGUACAGAGUGAGAAGAUGAACUACAAAGGCCCAGUUUGUACUAUGCAAGACCACAGUAGGGUUAUGGCAUCCAGGCCUUGGUGCACAACAGUGAUGUCUAUCACAACACACCAGGGCCUGGAGACAUCUGAAUUGUCCUGAUGUAGAAUCAUUUUGAAACAGACUUGAGUUUCAGAUAAUCUGGAACAGGGAUUCUCAACGUUGGGUCCCCAGAUGUUAUUGGACUUCAACUCCCAUAAUCCCUAACUAAAGGCUACUAGGGCUGGGGAUUAUGAAGUCCAAUAACAGCUGGAGACCCAACGUUGAGAAUCUCUGAUCUAGAAUAGACUACAGUAUGGAUCUGUGGGAACUGAACCCGCAAAUUCAUCAUAGAGUUCUGGUUUAUUUCAUCUGUGCAAUUAAUUUCUGUUUCAAAAUGAUACCUGUUUCAAUUUUUAAAUAAACUAUGUUCCCAAUGCAUGCUCUUUCAGAAAUACCUGACUGUGACACUGUUGCAUUCUAUGUAGUAUAUUUUAUGUUUUGUUGUUUAGAAGAUUAUCCCAGGAGGGAUCCUGUAGAGAGUGUGGGGGACGGUGUCAGAAAGGGAAAGGAAGGGGAAGGAGAAGGAGAAAAUAGUUGUUCCUGAAUAAACUCUUAGUCAAAUCUAUAUAAAAUUACUUUGUGUUUGUGAGAGAAUCAGCAAUACAGCAUUUGGUGAUGGGAUUUUGAACCAGCUAAUCGUGUGAGACUGCAAAGCUUGAGCAUGUUCCUGCAACUUCAUUUCAUUGCAUGUCUGGACCUACAUUCCUGAACUACUUUCUACUAUUGCUGCUCCUGAUUGUUUCUCCAGCUUCCUGACCUGCACAAUCCCUGAAGGUACAAAGUGUGGGAAAAACUAUGGCAACAGAGCACUGAACUUUUCUUAAAGAUGUAAGCAUGUUCCUGAACAUAGGUCGUGAUAAUAAUGGGAACAAUUACCUACCAAAUGUGAAGACAAAAGCUUCAGCAGAGCCAUCUUAGUCAUAAAGAAAGAAGACAGACUCAGGCUGCACAUGCACACAAUACUUUCUAACUCAGAAAUGCAUGGUUAGGAGUCCUCUUUGCCUCACUUGGAAUUCUGAAGAAGGAAGGGGCUUCCUUGCACUAAUGGACCCAAAAGCAACACAUUUAAAGAGCUUUUAGCAACUCUGCACUGACACAGUAAAUAUGGGUGUGAUUGGUUUGCUCAAGCAAAACCAGUCACACAUAAGCAGAAUACAUUCGCACCACUGUUCCCUCUAAGGCGUGUGCAUGUGCAUGCGCUCACAAGUUUUUGGAUGUCUGCUCAGUUCAUUUUAGAUCCUGCAGAGGUUGAAUCAGGAAGGCCCCAUUCUGAAUGUAGGUGCACACACACCGCCUUGAUGCUGCCACCCAGAACAAAACUCAUUCCGCACAGAGAUGAAAAAAAAUUAGAGGGACCACUGAUUCACACCAUCUUAAAUGAGUUAUGCAGCAACUGAUUCACAAAACCAUAUGUGCUUUUGAUACAUUACUGCAAACACUCUAAACAUAGUUUAAUCAACCAUGGUGGCACACCAAAGGAUGAAUCCAGCAUAUAGAAGUGGUCACACACAACCAGUUUACCAUGAUCUGUACAUCAGCAUGGGCAACCUGUUUGUGUUUUUUCCACCUGUCCAUUGGUUGUGUGAAUUAGUCCUAAAUCACUCAAUUGUUUUCAGCUCUGUGGUUUUAAUAGGCUAUACGUCUUGAAAAAACUCAGCCUACCAAAAUACAUUUUUCUUCAAACUCUGGGGAACAGGGAAUAUCUCAACUGAGGCUAUACUGCAAGUUCAAAUUUGCAAACAAACAAACAAAAAACUCCAAAAGACACAAAAAGGUGGAUUUUUUUUAACCCCAGACAUAAAUUGGUCUAUGUUCUAACGUGCAAUAAAAAACCCAAAUCAUGUCUGGAGUGUUCCCCAAUAGCUCACAGGGGCUUCAGGGUAAUCUGGCUGAUAUGUGAAUGCACACCUUCUAUUCUAGAGGAGAAGUGAGCUAAACCUGUCUGGAAAUGCUCUUGCCAAAAUUGGAAAUGAACCUACCAUUAUAUAUUUACAAAGAACUUUGGAUCUCUUAUAGAGACAACACUCUAAAAAUGCAACUGCUAAUCUUCUUCUGAAUGAGAAAAAUAGGAUUUGUAAAAGAUAAUUGAUCAACUGGAACUUCCACAGAGUCUCUAAAAAGCUAUUUUUAGAUUUUUAAAAUUUAAAAUAAAUCAACAAACAAGAUGGUGCUCCAUGCAGCCCUGGAAGUGCCCCUUGAUAUUUCCCUUUGAAUUUGAAUUGCAUUCUCCCAAGAGGAAAAUAUUAACUAUCAACUGAGUUAUUAAUACGCCAUAUAUUUAGGAGGGAAAGUUAUAUAAACAUAGUAUAUAAAAACUAUACAUCUUUCUAAGUGAAUUCUAGAAAAUUCUGAAUACCACAGCCUCUCUCUUUGGCAGUCUUCUUUCCUGAAAAGCAGAGCCUCCAUUUUCAAGCUCUGCAUAUUUACCCAGACAUCCUAUUGAAUAUCAUUAACUCUGCAAGAGAACUAUCAUAUAUGUACAGAACACCUAAUGGGACCUAUCCAGUCAAAAGGCUCUCUCAAUUGGAUUCACUGAUCCGAAAUGGAACACAUUGAUCUAAUAGGAGGUAAGAGAUUUCCUAGGGCAUUCAGUCCCCUGGAAGACUCUCACGCAGUGGUGGGCUCUCCCUUCUUAAAGAGUUUCAAACAAAUGUUGGUCAGCAUUCUGUCAGGGAUUCUGUAGCAUUUUCCUGCACUGAACUGAACUUGAAGAUAUACAAGACCCCAUUGACACUAAAAUGCGGUGAUAAAACACCACGGAUCAUUAUGGCAAGACAAUGUCAUCCCCUUAGCUGUUCUUGCGAGAAUACAUUGUGAACCCUAUGGCAUUAAAAACCUGCCUCUGCAGUUCUAAUCAGGUAGAAGCUGUACACCCACCCAAUGUAUAAGGGAUUCCAUGACACCUUUGAUAACUAAUCUUCAUUUUAAAAAACUGAUAGGGUCAUGUGUGACAUACUUGGUGACUGAUACUGAUCACCUCACACAACAUUAAAAAGCUAGAAAAUUUAUUGUUGGAUUUGGUUUCAAGAAUUUCAGGAAAAUCUUACUAUAUAGCUGGAUUGUCCAAUCUGAUCUUAUUUCUUCUUUUGUUGCUAUCGUAUGCGGAUGUAUUUUUUUCCUUCAUGUUUUAUUCUAUGUCCAUUGGGCCAGAAUACAUAAUAAUGGACUGACUGAAAAUUCUGUGAUUGCUCUUAAUAACCCUCUAACCUCAAAUUAUGUAUUAAUUAUUUAAAUUCAUAAGACACCUUAUAACUAAUGCUCAGGACAGGUAAGAUCAUUCUAAAGAGAUACCGUUUUUAAAAUAUCAAAUAGCUAUUACAUGCCGGUUCAGAUUUUUCUUGGAGGCUUUAUAAUUUUUAUAAAAUCAUAACUCUGGAAAAGACUUAACGAACCAUCUAGUCUAUUCUUGUACAAGACAAGAUGUACAAUAUCUAAAGAAUCUCAGAAUCCCAGGCAUGUGCCUGUCAGUUGUCAUGAGGUACAUGCCACGCCAUGUUUUGGAUCCAUCAACAAUCUUUAAACAGAUGACAAAGACAACCUCAUGCAAAACAUAACAAUCAAGCCUCCAGAUAAUAAAGGCACAGACCUAGUUCUCACAAAGGCACUACACUUGUGUCUGGGCCAUACCUCUUGAGACAGCAGCAGGUAGGGGCUCAUAUACUAAAUACAACCUUGCCUUGCACCACUCAAAAAUAAUUUCUGCACAGAGAAAACUGCCAUGUCAGAGAGAAGGCUAAACCAGAAUCAUUCCAUUGAUAUCUGCUUUUAUAUGUGCAAAUAAUAUGUUUGUAUGGGGAAAUAUUCACUUAUAAGAGACACCUGAAUAUUCAAGCAUAAGAGCGCCAAUCCUUAGAUACUGUUGAUAAAGAUUUACUGCUUCAACAACCCUUGAGCAUCCCUUAAAUUUCCUACCUGCAAGGAGUUCUGUAACCUUGGUUCCUGCCAUAGGUUCUGCUAAUCUCCAGAAGAACAAGGAUCCAAUCGCAAGAAACCACUUUAGCCUCUGUGAUAGAUAGUCCUUAAGGACUAAAGCAAUAAAGAGUUCCUAAAGGAAAGCUUGUUUAUCUUAAAGAAGA